GGAGGACUGCAGCUCAGUGGCAGAGCACCCAGAAGGUCUGGGUUCGAUCCCUGCAGUCUCCA
Molecule: transfer RNA, 62 nt
Filed under: Podarcis lilfordi (Lilford's wall lizard)
Lineage: Eukaryota; Metazoa; Chordata; Lepidosauria; Squamata; Lacertidae
Description: tRNA.Ser
Source: RNAcentral